UGGCGAACGGGUGAGUAACGCGUGAGCAACCUGCCUUUCAGUGGGGGACAACAGAGGGAAACUUCUGCUAAUACCGCAUAACGUGCCUUGGGGGCAUCCCUGGGGUACCAAAGAUUUAUUGCUGAAAGAUGGGCUCGCGUCUGAUUAGAUAGUUGGUGGGGUAACGGCCCACCAAGUCGACGAUCAGUAGCCGGUCUGAGAGGAUGAACGGCCACAUUGGGACUGAGAUACGGCCCAGACUCCUACGGAAGGCAGCAG
Molecule: ribosomal RNA, 258 nt
Filed under: uncultured bacterium
Lineage: Bacteria
Description: partial 16S ribosomal RNA
Rfam family: Bacterial small subunit ribosomal RNA
Source: RNAcentral